This is a long non-coding RNA of Centruroides sculpturatus (bark scorpion), 957 nucleotides long. RefSeq lists it as uncharacterized. NCBI's taxonomy places the organism in Eukaryota, Metazoa, Arthropoda, Arachnida, Scorpiones, Buthidae. The transcript has 3 exons. The record is from RefSeq and is a predicted model, not a curated record.
UUAAGUAAGAAUUGAAUAAAUAAUCUGAUUGCAUUGUUUUAAAUAAUUAUUUUGAAUGCAAUUUGAAUAUUUGGGAACAGAAAAAUUUAGAAAAAAACAUGAGCAUUUUAUAUAUUUUUUCUAAAGUUGAAUAGAUUCAAAUAGCGCACAUUUCAUUUCCAUAUGACGUCACAGCUAAAAGUAUACAUAUGUGGAAUCGCGAGGUUGAUCGAAUAGUUGAAGACACGUCAGUGCUCUGCAAAUUACGAAUUCUCUUCCAAGUUCCCAGCAGCAAGUAAAAGCAUCACGAAGUCUUUUUUGUUGCUUGUUUUAGUUUUAAGUUUGAAACCGCCGCAAAGUCUCUGUCAACUGUCGAAACCUUCAAGACCCGACUUUUGGUUUAAUCCCAUUUCAAAUUCCCUCUUCGAAUAACAUAUUUGACCAGUUGGAAGUUGCCAAGAAUAAUAUAUCGAUUGAAUUAUCGAAAUGUCUGGAUCCAAAAAUGAUACCAUCACUCGGGUGUGGAGGUGAAAACAUCACUGCUGAAAAUUUCCUUGAGAAUCUAUCGUCAAAUCUAUUGAUGUGCCUCUUAGAGAAAAUUUGUUACAAUAGUAGUGAGGCAAAUGUAGUAAAUCUGACUAAAUGUAUUACAAAAGCGUCUGGAUUUGCAAUAAGCGCAUUGACAAGCCUAGUUAUUACUUCACGUGAAAAGAAAAUGUAUUUAUGUAUUAUCAGUUUGUAUACCAAUGCCCGUAGUGAACUUCUCAAUUGUGAAUUUUUUUAUAAAAUUUUAUCAUUGGAUAUAGACGGUAUUAUAAAAUAUAUAAAUGAUCGUAUUUUGCACAUUUACUUUGCAAAUCUGGUUAAUUUAAUAAAACUAGCUACAGAAAAAGGGAUGAACGAUUGUAUACUUCUUUAGUAAAUCACAAAUUUUUGUUGAUGUAAAUUUACGAAUCUGCAAUAAAAUGUAAAUUCAGU